GAUGAAGAACGUAGCGAAAUGCGAUAAGUAGUGUGAAUUGCAGAAUUCCGUGAAUCAUCGAAUCUUUGAACGCACAUUGCGCCCCUUGGUAUCCCGAGGGGCAUGCCUGUUCGAGCGUCAUUUCACCACUCAAGCCUGGCUUGGUGUUGGGCGACGUCCUCUUUGGGGACGCGCCUCGAAACGCUCGGCGGCGUGGCACCGGCUUUAAGCGUAGCAGAAUCUUUCGCUUUGGAAGUCGGGGCCCCGUCUGCCGGAAGACCUGCUCGCAAGGUUGACCUCGGAUCAGGCAGGGAUACCCGCUGAACUUAAGCAUAUCAAUAAGCGGAGGA
Molecule: unclassified non-coding RNA, 329 nt
Filed under: soil metagenome
Description: partial contains 5.8S ribosomal RNA, internal transcribed spacer 2, and large subunit ribosomal RNA
Rfam family: 5.8S ribosomal RNA (bases 1-120)
Source: RNAcentral